AGUAUUGUUGUUAUGAUUUGUAUUAUAAUUUAAUAUAUUGUAAAAUGUAUCGUUAUCGCUUUAAUUUAGAAAUAUUUUUAAAUACUAAAUACUUAAUAAAUUUGAUGAUUUUAUAUAUUGAUGGCAAGCUAUCAAGACUAUAAAAAAAUUGGUAAAUAGCGUUGUGAGGGAAUUCUAUUGAAAUGAUAUUUUCUCAUAUAGAGAGUCUACUAUGUCAUUUG
RNAcentral lists this unclassified non-coding RNA (221 nucleotides) under Hevea brasiliensis (rubber tree). The record is from RNAcentral. Lineage: Eukaryota; Viridiplantae; Streptophyta; Magnoliopsida; Malpighiales; Euphorbiaceae.